UGGGUUUUUUCAAGAUAAGAUCUCAUGAACUACCAUACCUCCCUAGAAUAAAAGCUGCCUUUUGAUGACCGGGACGAAUUAAGUGAAAUCGUAAUGGACAGAUUCAGGGUAGACAGUU
RNAcentral lists this small nucleolar RNA (118 nucleotides) under Castor canadensis (American beaver). Its description in RNAcentral is "Small Cajal body specific RNA 8 (ENSCCNG00000031636.1)". It matches the Rfam family "Small Cajal body specific RNA 8". Rfam says of the family: scaRNAs are a specific class of small nuclear RNAs which localise to the Cajal bodies and guide the modification of RNA polymerase II transcribed spliceosomal RNAs U1, U2, U4, U5 and U12. U92 belong to the H/ACA box class of guide RNAs as it has the predicted hairpin-hinge-hairpin-tail structure, conserved H/ACA-box motifs and is found associated with GAR1. Its is predicted to guide the pseudouridylation of residues U44 in U2 snRNA. Lineage: Eukaryota; Metazoa; Chordata; Mammalia; Rodentia; Castoridae. The record is from Rfam by way of RNAcentral.